RNAcentral lists this ribosomal RNA (1486 nucleotides) under Salmonella enterica subsp. enterica serovar Paratyphi A. RNAcentral describes it as "bacterial LSU rRNA". It matches the Rfam family "Bacterial large subunit ribosomal RNA", at positions 1466 to 2925 of the family's 2925-position model. Lineage: Bacteria; Pseudomonadati; Pseudomonadota; Gammaproteobacteria; Enterobacterales; Enterobacteriaceae. The record is from RNAcentral.
GGGGGGACGGAGAAGGCUAUGUUGGCCGGGCGACGGUUGUCCCGGUUUAAGCGUGUAGGUGUGUGUUCCAGGUAAAUCCGGUUCACUUUAACACUGAGGCGUGACGACGAGGCACUACGGUGCUGAAGCAACAAAUGCCCUGCUUCCAGGAAAAGCCUCUAAGCAUCAGGUAACAUCAAAUCGUACCCCAAACCGACACAGGUGGUCAGGUAGAGAAUACCAAGGCGCUUGAGAGAACUCGGGUGAAGGAACUAGGCAAAAUGGUGCCGUAACUUCGGGAGAAGGCACGCUGACACGUAGGUGAAGUGAUUUACUCAUGGAGCUGAAGUCAGUCGAAGAUACCAGCUGGCUGCAACUGUUUAUUAAAAACACAGCACUGUGCAAACACGAAAGUGGACGUAUACGGUGUGACGCCUGCCCGGUGCCGGAAGGUUAAUUGAUGGGGUCAGCGCAAGCGAAGCUCCUGAUCGAAGCCCCGGUAAACGGCGGCCGUAACUAUAACGGUCCUAAGGUAGCGAAAUUCCUUGUCGGGUAAGUUCCGACCUGCACGAAUGGCGUAAUGAUGGCCAGGCUGUCUCCACCCGAGACUCAGUGAAAUUGAACUCGCUGUGAAGAUGCAGUGUACCCGCGGCAAGACGGAAAGACCCCGUGAACCUUUACUAUAGCUUGACACUGAACAUUGAGCCUUGAUGUGUAGGAUAGGUGGGAGGCUUUGAAGUGUGGACGCCAGUCUGCAUGGAGCCGACCUUGAAAUACCGCCCUUUAAUGUUUGAUGUUCUAACGUGGACCCGUUACCCGGGUUGCGGACAGUGUCUGGUGGGUAGUUUGACUGGGGCGGUCUCCUCCUAAAGAGUAACGGAGGAGCACGAAGGUUGGCUAAUCCUGGUCGGACAUCAGGAGGUUAGUGCAAUGGCAUAAGCCAGCUUGACUGCGAGCGUGACGGCGCGAGCAGGUGCGAAAGCAGGUCAUAGUGAUCCGGUGGUUCUGAAUGGAAGGGCCAUCGCUCAACGGAUAAAAGGUACUCCGGGGAUAACAGGCUGAUACCGCCCAAGAGUUCAUAUCGACGGCGGUGUUUGGCACCUCGAUGUCGGCUCAUCACAUCCUGGGGCUGAAGUAGGUCCCAAGGGUAUGGCUGUUCGCCAUUUAAAGUGGUACGCGAGCUGGGUUUAGAACGUCGUGAGACAGUUCGGUCCCUAUCUGCCGUGGGCGCUGGAGAACUGAGGGGGGCUGCUCCUAGUACGAGAGGACCGGAGUGGACGCAUCACUGGUGUUCGGGUUGUCAUGCCAAUGGCACUGCCCGGUAGCUAAAUGCGGAAGAGAUAAGUGCUGAAAGCAUCUAAGCACGAAACUUGCCCCGAGAUGAGUUCUCCCUGAGACUUUAGGUCUCCUGAAGGAACGUUGAAGACGACGACGUUGAUAGGCCGGGUGUGUAAGCGCAGCGAUGCGUUGAGCUAACCGGUACUAAUGAACCGUGAGGCUUAACCUU